RNAcentral lists this ribosomal RNA (1348 nucleotides) under metagenome. RNAcentral describes it as "bacterial LSU rRNA". It matches the Rfam family "Bacterial large subunit ribosomal RNA", at positions 1564 to 2925 of the family's 2925-position model. The record is from RNAcentral.
UGAGUACGAGACGCUAAGGCGUCGAAGUAGUGGAUGCCAUACUUCCAAGAAAAGCUUGCACUGUCAUAAAUAAAAAUGCCCGUACCAUAACCGACACAGGUGGGUAAGUAGAGUAUACUAAGGGGCGCGAGAUAACUCUCUCUAAGGAACUCGGCGAAAUAACUCCGUAACUUCGGGAGAAGGAGUGCCUUAUUCUUAAGGUUGCAAUAACAAGAUCCAAGCAACUGUUUGUCAAAAACACAGGUCUCCGCUAAGUCGUAAGACGAUGUAUGGGGGCUGACGCCUGCCCAGUGCCAGAAGGUUAAAGAAGUCGGUUAGCAAUAGCAAAGCUGGUAACUGAAGCCCUGGUGAACGGCGGCCGUAACUAUAACGGUCCUAAGGUAGCGAAAUUCCUUGUCGGGUAAGUUCCGACCCGCACGAAAGGCGUAAUGAUUUGGAUGCUGUCUCGGAGAGGGGCUCGGUGAAAUAGGCUUGUCUGUGAAGAUGCGGACUACCUGCACCAGGACAGAAAGACCCUAUGAAGCUUUACUGUAACUUGAGAUUGAAAUUGGACUUUAUUCGCGCAGUAUAGGUGGGAGGCGUUGAUUAUAAUCUUGUGGGAUUAUUGGAGCCAUCAGUGAGAUACCACUCUUGUAAUGUUAGGUUUCUAACUUUGAAUCAUUAUCUGGUCAAAGGACAGUUUCAGGCGGGCAGUUUGACUGGGGCGGUCGCCUCCUAAACGGUAACGGAGGCGUACAAAGGUUUCCUCUGAACGGUUAGAAAUCGUAUCUAGAGUGUAAAGGCAUAAGGAAGCUUGACUGUGAGACCUACAAGUCGAGCAGGGACGAAAGUCGGUCUUAGUGAUCUGACGGUACUGAGUGGAAAGGCCGUCACUCAACGGAUAAAAGUUACUCUAGGGAUAACAGGCUGAUCUCCCCCAAGAGUUCGCAUCGACGGGGAGGUUUGGCACCUCGAUGUCGGCUCAUCGCAUCCUGGGGCGGUAGUACGUCCCAAGGGUUGGGCUGUUCGCCCAUGAAAGCGGUACGCGAGCUGGGUUCAGAACGUCGUGAGACAGUUCGGUCCAUAUCCGGUGUAGGCGCUAGAAUAUUGAGAGGAGCCUUCUUUAGUACGAGAGGACCGAGAAGGACAUACCUCUGGUGUACCAGUUAUCGUGCCAACGGUAAACGCUGGGUAGCUAUGUAUGGAGUGGAUAACCGCUGAAAGCAUCUAAGUGGGAAGCUCACCUCAAGAUAAGUAUUCUCAUCACGUAAGUGAGUAAGGUCACGGUAAGACUAACCGUUUGAUAGGCAUUAAGUGUAAGUACAGUAAUGUAUGUGCUGAGAUGUCCUAAUAGACCGAGGACUUGAAU